AAAUGAUGUCGGGGGAGUCUCGCGUAAGAGACUGAGAGGCUGCGUGCGUAUGACGCCGUGCAGCGACCCUUUGAACCUGACCCAGUUAAUACUGGCGUAGGAAGACGGGUCGCCUGUGAG
RNAcentral lists this non-coding RNA (120 nucleotides) under bacteria symbiont BFo2 of Frankliniella occidentalis. Its description in RNAcentral is "TPP riboswitch aptamer (THI element)". It matches the Rfam family "TPP riboswitch aptamer (THI element)". Rfam says of the family: Vitamin B(1) in its active form thiamin pyrophosphate (TPP) is an essential coenzyme that is synthesised by coupling of pyrimidine and thiazole moieties in bacteria. The previously detected thiamin-regulatory element, thi box was extended, resulting in a new, highly conserved RNA secondary structure, the THI element, which is widely distributed in eubacteria and also occurs in some archaea. The record is from Rfam by way of RNAcentral. Lineage: Bacteria; Pseudomonadati; Pseudomonadota; Gammaproteobacteria; Enterobacterales. RNAcentral also lists the same sequence under 1 other name.